This is a long non-coding RNA of Catharus ustulatus (Swainson's thrush), 1876 nucleotides long. NCBI's taxonomy places the organism in Eukaryota, Metazoa, Chordata, Aves, Passeriformes, Turdidae. The record is from Ensembl.
CUGGUGGCAGCCCAGACUGCCUCGGUCCGGGAGGGAGAGGGUUUCUCAGCAGAGAUCCCCACGCAGCAUCCCCAGAACUGGGCACACGUGCCAGGACACCGAGACCAGGAUGGGGCGAGCGAGGAGGGAGUUUCGGGGUGCCCAGCGAGCGAGGGGUCUUCAACUGCACCCGUAGAUGUUACAUCCCAGGCAGGGUCUGCUUUAAAUCCCUCCCUCCUCCCUCCCUCCCUGGCGAGGAACUUCUCUCGCUGAACUGGAGGAUGCUGCAAGCUCCUGCGGACGAGCCGGAGGAGUCCUGUGGCAAAGUCAAGGCGAGCGAAGAAGCAGCGUGGUCAUGCCGGGUGUCACCGCAGCCCGCUGCCGCCAGCCCAGCCUGCUGCGGCCGCUGUCACCUCCAGGACCGGACCAGGCCUAGAGCAGACUCAUCUCAGCUCUCGCUCCUGCCCAGCCCACCAUGGGUAAGUUGGGUGUCUCGGGGAGUUGAGGGGUACAAAAGCUGCAGUGGGGCAGAUCAGGGGGGCACGGGGACCCUGGGGUUCGUCCCUUCUCCCCUCUCCUGCUGGGUGUCUGCAGGGCUGAAGGAGGGUGGGGCUGGGAGAGCUGCUGCUGCCCCCGGACCCCUGCCCUGCCUGGCACAGGGCACUGGACUCCUGCCAGGAGCAGCUCUAGUGCCCACACUCCUGCUCUUCCGUCAUUUUCCUUCUUGACAUUUAUUCCAGCUGUCAUUGCAUUCAUUGCGGGAGUCUUCGUAGGAGCUGCAGUUGCAGGUGAGAGUUUGGCAUGGGAUGAGCUGUGCUGGGCUUCAUUUGGGAGCUGCUAGGAGGGAAGGGGGCAGCACUGGUCACUGCCUGGAAUUCUGUCUGCCCCUGCUGCUGCAGCCCUGCACACUGCUCCUCUGCUGCUGCCCAUGGGGUGUCCCCACACCUGCACCCCCAGCCCUCGAUCCUCAUUCUGGUCCCUGGGUGCUUUUGGGGAGGCUGGUUCUGGUGCUGGUGGCAGUGGGGGAUGUGGGUCACAGAGAGCACCCUAAUGCUGUACUGUCCUCCCUGCAGCAGCAGCAGCAGCAGCAGCAGUAGCAGGUGGUGUGCCAGAGGACCUCCAUGACAAGCAGGUUAGCAAGACUAAAGCUCUUGCUGUUGCUAUCACGGUCGGUGUGUGGGGUGGGCAGGGUGCUGGGCUCUGCUGGAUGGGAACACAGGGUUCCUCUAAACACAGGGUUCUCUUGGGCUUCCUUUAAAACCCAACUGGUUCUUUAACUCCACUCUGGUCUGAAUCUCCCCAAACUGUUGGACAGGGGAAAUCCCCAAUAUGGUGGGAAGAGCCAGAAGCUGCUGGGAUAACGAUCAAGGCUGAGGGCAUCAGGGCUGUGCAGGCAGAUGUGUGCUCUGUGGCAAGAACUCCUGUGUCCACUGGCAGCAGUGGGCAGAGGGAAAAAGGGAGAGCAGAAAGGGCUCAGCUUGGAUGUGCUAAGGGAGCAGAACUCAAUGUAAGGCAAAUCUCUGCCACAGCCUGAAGACACCCUUGGUGGAGAGACAUUGCUGCCUGUUCCUGCCUGUGCUGGUCCAUGAACAGGCAGCCUUGAUGCUUCUGGGACAUAACACUCCUGUCUCUAUAGGGGGAAACCUAAUGGCCUUGGCUCCAAGCCGCAGCCCAAGCUAUGCCUGCCACAAGAAGGAAUGAUGACCAGUGCUAAUGAACAGAAGCAGAUUUCCUUCCUGUCAAAGCAGCCUGAUUCGUGUCUUCCAAUUGCAGCAACUGGAAAGACCCGGCUGACACACAGCUGCCCCUUUCACAGAUUUGAAUUACCUUGAGCAAUAAAUGCUUUGAAAGUUUUAAUAAAAGUGCAUGUCUGGUGUGUGUAUGUGGUGUUCCUUGG